RNAcentral lists this ribosomal RNA (440 nucleotides) under uncultured bacterium. Its description in RNAcentral is "partial 16S ribosomal RNA". It matches the Rfam family "Bacterial small subunit ribosomal RNA", at positions 338 to 795 of the family's 1533-position model. The record is from RNAcentral.
CCUACGGGUGGCAGCAGUGGGGAAUAUUGCACAAUGGGGGAAACCCUGAUGCAGCGACGCCGCGUGAGUGAAGAAGUAUUUCGGUACGUAAAGCCCUAUCAGCAGGGAAGAAAAAGACGGUACCUGUCUAAGAAGCCCCGGCUAACUACGUGCCAGCAGGCGCGGUAAUACGCAGGGGGCAAGCGUUAUCCGGAUUUACUGGGUGUAAAGGGAGCGUAGGCGGCAGCGCAAGUCUGGAGUGAAAUCCCAUGGGUUAACCAUGGAACUGCUUUGGAAACUGUGCAGCUAGAGUGCAGGAGAGGUAGGCGGAAUUCCUAGUGUAGCGGUGAAAUGCGUAGAUAUUAGGAGGAACACCAGUGGCGAAGGCGGCUUACUGGACUGUAACUGACGUUGAGGCUCGAAAGCGUGGGGAGCAAACAGGAUUAGAUACCCGAGUAGUC